UUUAAUAAUUUAAAUUUUGAAAUAAGUUAAAAUUUAAUUUAGGUUUAUGAGUAUUUUUUAUUAAAAUUUUUAUAUGUAAAUUUUUGUAUGAAUUUUUAUUUUAUUAAAAAUAAAAUAUUUAAUUUUAAAUUACAAUAGAUAAUCUUAUUUUUUAAAGAAAUUUAGAAAUAGUUAUUAAUUAAAAUAUUAAUAAAAUUUGUGCCAGCAAUUGCGGUUAUACAAAUAAUAUAAAAAUAUUGAUUUAAAUAUAAUUAAUUUGAUAAAUAUUAAUUUUAUAAUUAAAAUUAAAUUAUUAAGUGAAAUUUUAAUUUUUAAUAAUUUAUAAUAAAAAAAAAUGAAGUUAAAAAAUUUAUUGAUAAAACUAGGAUUAGAUACCCUAUUAUUAUAAAUGUAAUGAUAAAAAAUUUAGAUUAUUAAUAGUUAAGAUCUUUAAAAUUAAAGAAUUUGGCGGUAUUUUAGUCUAUUUAGAGGAACCUGUUCUAUGACUGAUAAUCCACGAUUAAUUUUACUUAUUUUAUUAGUUUAUAUAUCGUUGUAAUUAGAUUAUUUUAAAAGAAUUUAAUAAUCAAAAUUGUAUUAUAAUAAAAAAAAUCAGAUCGAGAUGUAGCUUAUAAAUAAGAAGUAAUGGGUUACAAUAAAAUUAUUUUUUGAUAAAUCAAAGAAAUAUGAUUUUGAAAAUGGAUUUAAAUGUAAUUUUUAUAAAUAUUUUAAAAAUGAUUUAAGCUCUAAAUUAUGUACAUAUUGCCCGUCGCUUUUAUUAUAAAAUAAAAUAAGUCGUAACAAAGUAAACUUACUGGAAAGUGAGUUUAGAAGAU
Molecule: non-coding RNA, 815 nt
Filed under: Cordylepherus sp. YY-2021
Lineage: Eukaryota; Metazoa; Arthropoda; Insecta; Coleoptera; Melyridae
Source: RNAcentral